Non-coding RNA from Drosophila takahashii, 1971 nucleotides. The record is from RefSeq and is a predicted model, not a curated record. Lineage: Eukaryota; Metazoa; Arthropoda; Insecta; Diptera; Drosophilidae.
UUGGUCCUGCGUGAUAUUUCGGGUUCUCCAAGCUAGCUCAGCUGUUCAGGGCCGUGGUUCCCCGAACCCUGCCCGAUCACACACUCACAGAAAUCAACGCCGGACUCACAUUUAUAUGAAACCGACGUUAUACAACACCAUCCUCUGCACCGUAACAUAAUAACUCACCUUUAAAUUCAAAUUCCCUACACACGAACUGGACUACUGGUAUUUGACCUGGUCUGGACCAUCCUGUUGGACUGGAGGUCACAUGCUCAUCCCUCCCGACCUUGCGAACUGCUUUGAGCAAACUUAUUCCGCAGCCGCCCCUAAUUUUCCUGAUCCUCCUUACUGUUUCCUACAUACCCAUCCUUACGUGGCUUCUCCUCCCAUUCAAUUAACUCUACUCCAUAUUUACUGCCAUAACUUAACGUUUAUUAUACAAAAUCAUGAGAUACAUUUAGGGUUUACCUUUGAACCCUAUUCGCCAAAUCCCUUCUUUACGACUCUCUUUUACGCUUGUUCCUAAUCCUACCGUAAGAGCUCUCAAGGUGGAAACUUUUCACUUAAGCACAGAUAUUUAAAUUAACAAAAUUUGGGACAACAUAACUGGCACUGGUUCAGAGAUCCCUUUAAGGAAAAUACUUUUGUAACCCACUUUUUAAGAUGUACAUUGUAUGUGUAAAUAGGGAUGUAGAUAGUAUGGGUAUAAAAAUGUAGAUAACAUAUAAAUGUAGAUAAUAUAAGUAAAUUGACAAGGAAUAAUUGGUUGGUGAAUAAAUAAAUGAAAUAAAUAAAUAAAUGGAGAUAAUAAAUAGCACGAAUAAUUGAAUAAAUAAAAUAAUAAAUAAGACGAACAAGACAAUAUAAAAACAAAAUUUCAAUUGUACUAAAACUAAUAAUAAAAAAAAAUGGACUGAAGCCGAAAGGCUCCCGUUGCCGCCACUUGGAAGGCGUGUCGGUCUUCCACGACGAAAAAAAAUCAAUUUUACUCCUGAUGCUGGCCAGGGAAAUCUUCACGCCAGAUAAUAAGUCCUGGUUUCUGGUUUUUUCCGUAUUUGAUGACCGAACUAUUUCUUUAAUUUAAUUUGGUGUCACUGGCGCGCUGCUGCUGCUCGAAUUAGAUUUGCAAAUAUUUUAUAAAUAAUUUAACCCGCCUUUUCACUCUUAGACGUAUGCAAUCUUUUUUUUGCACGUGCAACGCGAGACUUGGAAAAAUUUGUGUGAGCGCAGCAGACGUAACGCCCUUGACCGUGACUUUCGUUCUGAUCAGCCUAUUCCCUAUUCCCUACCGUCAACCCGAAUUCCGGGUCUCCGUUAUUCGAAUUUUCCGGGUCAACGGCCGGAUAACAUUCGGGUGACCAGGUCAAGCCAGUCCUAUUUCUGGUAUUUAAGCAACCCUGCUUUUUCCCAGAGAUUGCCAUCGAUAAGCCGGGUGACCACCCUGCGCCCACAUUCGAUAUUAGUAUCGAUAGGCCGGCCACAACAACCACACUGACAAUGAACAACAAAAUCAAAACAAAAGAACUAAAACAAGAGAAUUGGCAGUGAAAAACUGGCCACAAACCCGGAUAAUUUCAACCCACGGAUUUGCGACCACGCAGGACAACGAAGCACCUUCUUAAGCGCCCAACGAGAGAAAACGCCCACAGCUACCGGAUUAACUCUGGCCACAAUGGAUGCGCAUUAAUCCGGACGGAUGAUCUGCCCUGUGUCCUGGCCUGUGUUACAGGUAUAAUCUCUUUCCCAAUCCGGAAGCUACUUCCUCCCUUAUUGUGAGAGCAAAGGACAUCCGGUUACACCUCGACCGCAGCAGAACAUUGGACUAAUAUUUGACCAUGAACUGGACGUCGGAUGCUGGAGAGUUAUUUUACGGAAAGGAAACAAAUAGAAUUAGUUAUGACAUUUAGUUUUACAUUUGCGUUACAUUUUUAAUCUAUUUUUGUAUCUUCUGACCAGUUUAAUUAAACUAAUUUAUUUUUUUAAAAGAUA